UCCUGCCUUCUCCUCUAUUCCCUCCCGCAGUCACAGCGGGAGUGUCGUGGACGCAAAUGACGAGGCGGACGCUGUUGACUGGAGUUGUUGCCGAUGAGUUGUUGUAGACGCAGCCCCGUAUGUCGAUGUCGAGGUAGCCGAUCAUGAUGAUGUAGCCAUGGUCGAGGUAGUCAUGGUCGAUGGUGUGGUCGUCGUGGAUGAUGAAGCCGCACAAAGCCGGAGGCGCAAAAAAAUGCGCUCUGACGGAGCUGCAGACAUGGACGAUGCACCUUGCGGAUGUCAGAGGGUGCCGUCGGCGAUGAGUCCACCGAUUUUGCCAAGAUCGGAGGAAGCCCAUCGAGCACACAUCGGUUUUGCCAGAACCGUGUGGCUGUGUAGAGUCGUCACUGUAGUGACGCCGUGUCGAUGCAGUCGUGCCGUCGUGGAUGACGCGGAAGAUGCCGUCGUCGUGACGCGGUCAUUGCCGUCGUCGAGGUCGCGCCUUGCAGAAAAGUCCGUCAGAGGACGCUAGGUGUCCAUCUUGUGGACGAGGCGGCGGC
Molecule: ribosomal RNA, 539 nt
Filed under: Triticum aestivum (bread wheat)
Lineage: Eukaryota; Viridiplantae; Streptophyta; Magnoliopsida; Poales; Poaceae
Description: partial small subunit ribosomal RNA
Source: RNAcentral